AUGCGCGCCGGGGCCUACACCAUCCACCAGUCGCUCACCGCCGAGGCGGCCGCGGUGCUCAAGCUCGCCGUCGGCCUCGCGCGCCGCCGCGGCCAUGCGCAGGUGACGCCGCUGCACGUCGCCUUCGCGCUGCUCAGCUCCGCCUGCUCGCAGCCGCUCGCGGGGGGCGCCGCCUACGGCCUGCUCAGGCGCGCCUGCCUGCGCUCCCACCCCGCGGUGCCGCCCGCGCAGCACCCGCUCCAGUGCCGCGCGCUCGAGCUCUGCUUCAAUGUCGCGCUCAACCGCCUGCCCAACUCCGGGCCGCACUCGCCGCCGCCGUCUUCGGCCGCGCCCUUCGCGUCCUCGCUCGUCCAGCCUAACCCGGCGCUCUCCAACGCGCUCGUCGCCGCGCUCAAGCGCGCGCAGGCCAACCAGCGCCGAGGCUGCGUCGAGCUGCAGCAGCCACCGCCAUCCCCCGGCCCGGUGCAGCACCAAGGCGCGCAGCAGCAGCAGCCGCUCCUCGCCAUCAAGGUGGAGCUCGACCAGCUCAUCAUCUCCAUUCUUGACGACCCCAGCGUAAGCCGCGUGAUGCGGGAGGCGGGCUUCUCCAGCGCCACCGUCAAGAGCAACCUCGAGGAGGAGAGCGCGCUCAUGAUGUCAUCCUCGUCUUCGUCCCCUCCUCCGCCGGUCAUACCUCCACAUUUCUUCCUCGACCACGGCAGCAUUGACGGCUGCGGCUUCGGGAUGUGGCCGGCACAGUUCUUGAGCUCGCCGGCCGUGGCCGUUCCGUACUGCAAGGAGGACGUGAGGGCGGUCUUGGAGGUGAUGGUGCGGAAGCAGGGGAGAAGGACCAACCCCGUCGUCGUCGGCGACUCGGUGUCGAUGGCGGAGGCCGUGGCCGGCGAGCUGCUGCGGUGCCUCGAGCGCGGAGAAGUCCCCGAGGAGCUCGCCGGCGCGCACCUGCUCAAGCUUCAGCUCUCCUACGUGCACGUCCGGCUCAUGAGCCGCGUCGACGUGGACGCCAAGGCCGCGGAGCUCCGCCGCAGCGUGGACGCCGUCCAGCGCGGCGGCCUGGUCGUCUACGUCGGAGACCUGCGGUGGGCGCUGGACGAGGAUCCCGCCGGCGGCGGCGCCGACCACACCGCGUCGUCGUACAGCCCCGUGGAGCACAUGGUGGCCGAGCUUGGCCGGCUCCUCGACGACCUCCGCGCCAGCGCGCCGCCGCGAUGCCGCGUCUGGCUGGUGGCCACGGCCAGCUACCAGACCUACAUGCGGUGCCAGCACCGGCGUGGGCAGCCAUUGCUGGAGUCCGCCUGGGCGCUGCAGGCCGUGGCGGUCCCCACCGCGAGCGGCACUGGGCUGGCCCUCAACAAUCUCCAUUCUUCCUCCUCUCCGAGCAGUGCGACUGCGAUGCAGCAGGCCAUGGCGACCAGGCAGCUGCUUGCCCAGAGUCCUGUGGCAAUGGCAGCCGAGCCAAUGGCGCUGGGAGGCGAGCAGGAAGACAAGCUGAUGCUGUGCAGCGAAUGCAACAGGAGCUACGAGAGGGAGGCGUCCGUUGUCAAGGCAGAGGCUGGCACCGAGGGCCUACGCUGCAGCCUCCCGGCCUGGCUGGUGCUCGACAACAAGCCACCGGCCGAUCAUCAAAUGCCACACCAGGGCAACUAUCUGAUCGAACUCAAGAGGAAAUGGAGCAGGCUGUGCAGAAAGCUUCACCUGUGGCGCAGCCAGCAGCAUGAUCCGUGCUCCCCUUCUUGCUUUGGUCCUGGCAUAUCUGCACCUCCAAACUCGUGGUGGCCGAGUCCUUGCCUGCUGCCGAGCAGCCAGAGCACGCCGAGCAUUGCAGGCUUCUUGGGCUUGGAGGGACUGACGGAGCAUUCAAGGAGCAACAGCAGGUGGUCACCUCCAUCGCCUCUGCCUUGUCCGGGCCUCAUGGAGCCAGAGCGCCCGGACGUGAAGACGACGCUCGCUCUUGGCACCCUCCUCCCACUCUCGGACACGGCCACCUCCGACGGUCGUGCUCAGGGGAGCCACGAUGGAGUGACGCAUGAGCUGGAGCGGCGGCUGCGCAAAAACAUACCGCGCCAGCCAGUAGGCACCGUUGCGGAGAUCGUGGAGGCGGUCGCCAGCAGCCGGAGCUAUGGAAGGAAGGGCGUCUGUCUGUUCUUCAAGGGGAGCGACCACGCUGCCCAGCAACGGGCGGCGGCGGUGAUCGCCGAGACGUGCUGUGGCUCGGCCGAUCAGAUCAUAGCCGCGGAUCCCAAGAAAUUCAGCUGCGCCGAGGAUUUCUGCUCCGAUGUGGUCUCGAGGGCGUGCAAGCUCAGUUGCGGCAGGUUCGUGCUCGUCAUCCCCGACGUCGAGCACGCGCCGCGGCACGUUGUCGAGUGUCUCGUGGCGGCAUCCAUGUGCGGGUUUAUCAAGGACCAUUUCGGCCAAGAACUCGAUCUCUCUGGAUCCAUCAUUAUCUUCACAACAUCAGAGCUUGCAAACCGGGCCACCGACGUCAUCAGCCUGCGGUUAUGGUCGUCGUCGUCGCCCGGCGAUGUCAAGAGGAAGGCAGAGAUCGAGCCACCACCAACAACAAGGGAGUGCAAGAGGGCACGGCACGGCUCCAGCUCCGGCCAUGGCAUCGACCUUGACCUCAACCUCUGCGCCGGCAACGACAGUGACGACGAUGCUGUUCCGAGCGACAUCACCCACGAGAGUGACAGCAGAGAACACGGGGACUUGCACCACCUCCUCGAGUCGGUCGCCACCGGCGUCCUCGCCCUUGACAAGGACGCCGACGCUGACCAGCGCGCCGCGGCGACCAUCCGUGAAGUGCUCGUUGGGGCGCUCGGCCGGGAGGUGCAGCUCGACGACGAGGCGGCCGAGGCUCUCACCGCGGCUUCUGGACACUUUCUUGACGAGGUGCUGUGGAGGUGGGCGGUGGAGGUGUUUGAACCGGCGGCGGCGGCGGCAGUGGUGGAAAAUGGCGGGAAGGUGGUGGUAUUGGGGAUGGGGCCAGGGGGCGGGGCCCAGGUGUCAGGGUUCAUGGGCUCGGCCCUUCCAAGCAGGGUCCUUGUAGACUGA
RNAcentral lists this ribosomal RNA (3048 nucleotides) under Triticum aestivum (bread wheat). Its description in RNAcentral is "partial small subunit ribosomal RNA". Lineage: Eukaryota; Viridiplantae; Streptophyta; Magnoliopsida; Poales; Poaceae. The record is from RNAcentral.